UGCAAGUCGAACGGCACCCCUCUCCGGAGGGAAGCGAGUGGCGAACGGUUGAGUAACACGUGGAGAACCUGCCCCCUCCCCCGGGAUAGCCGCCCGAAAGGACGGGUAAUACCGGAUACCCCCGGGCGCCGCAUGGCGCCCGGGCUAAAGCCCCGACGGGAGGGGAUGGCUCCGCGGCCCAUCAGGUAGACGGCGGGGUGACGGCCCACCGUGCCGACAACGGGUAGCCGGGUUGAGAGACCGACCGGCCAGAUUGGGACUGAGACACGGCCCAGACUCCUACGGGAGGCAGCAUG
RNAcentral lists this ribosomal RNA (296 nucleotides) under uncultured bacterium. RNAcentral's name for it is "partial 16S ribosomal RNA". It matches the Rfam family "Bacterial small subunit ribosomal RNA", at positions 56 to 353 of the family's 1533-position model. The record is from RNAcentral.